UGGACCGUUAAAUCACAUUCAGGCUGCAGCUAGUAUAAUGAAGCAUGAACCACAGCUUCUAAACUGAUAAUAAAGGCCCGAAAAUGACAAGCUAGAUACAGCUAGUUCCAGGCUAUGCUGAUAUGGAAGAAAAGAUGUUGAGGAUUCACUGGAAAAAAACCAUAAUCUAUAAAGCCUGAUACUUUAAUUGUACAGGCUACCUAACUCAUGGUAAUGCUGGAGCAUAACUUCAUCUACCUAUUUAUUUCCAUUAAUUUUAGCAGAUGGGAUCCUUUAUUUUGAACAUAAUCAUCUGAAAUUCUGAAACAGAGAGAAAAGGAAGGAAGGAAGGAAGGAAGGAAGGAAGGAAGGAAGGAAGGAAGGAAGGAAGUUUCAUGUAUUUCUUAAAAUUGCAUUUGAAAUAAAAAAUGGUAUUUGAAAAAAGAGGGAAGGGAAGAAUUUGAAGUUUGAAUUUUUGGUCUUUUUAUAGAAGUGCUAACAAUAAUUUGCAUCAGGGUUUUUCUUUUUCCUUCUAUGUCAUAUAAAAUGUGUUUUGGUAUUUAAUUUCAGUGAGACAUUUAAAUAAAAGCAUGGUUCAUUAAC
Pantherophis guttatus is the source of this 582-nucleotide long non-coding RNA. RefSeq lists it as uncharacterized. NCBI's taxonomy places the organism in Eukaryota, Metazoa, Chordata, Lepidosauria, Squamata, Colubridae. The record is from RefSeq and is a predicted model, not a curated record.